CGACGCUGGCGGCGUGCCUAAUACAUGCAAGUCGAACGAUGAAGCUUCUAGCUUGCUAGAAUGCUGAUUAGUGGCGCACGGGUGAGUAACGCAUAGGUCAUGUGCCUCUUAGUUUGGGAUAGCCAUUGGAAACGAUGAUUAAUACCAGAUACUCCCUACGGGGGAAAGAUUUAUCGCUAAGAGAUCAGCCUAUGUCCUAUCAGCUUGUUGGUAAGGUAAUGGCUUACCAAGGCUAUGACGGGUAUCCGGCCUGAGAGGGUGAACGGACACACUGGAACUGAGACACGGUCCAGACUCCUACGGGAGGCAGCAGUAGGGAAUAUUGCUCAAUGGGGGAAACCCUGAAGCAGCAACGCCGCGUGGAGGAUGAAGGUUUUAGGAUUGUAAACUCCUUUUGUUAGAGAAGAUAAUGACGGUAUCUAACGAAUAAGCACCGGCUAACUCCGUGCCAGCAGCCGCGGUAAUACGGAGGGUGCAAGCGUUACUCGGAAUCACUGGGCGUAAAGAGCGCGUAGGCGGGAUAGUCAGUCAGGUGUGAAAUCCUAUGGCUUAACCAUAGAACUGCAUUUGAAACUACUAUUCUAGAGUGUGGGAGAGGUAGGUGGAAUUCUUGGUGUAGGGGUAAAAUCCGUAGAGAUCAAGAGGAAUACUCAUUGCGAAGGCGACCUGCUAGAACAUUACUGACGCUGAUUGCGCGAAAGCGUGGGGAGCAACCAGGAUUAGAUACCCUGGUAGUCCACGCCCUAAACGAUGGAUGCUAGUUGUUGGAGGGCUUAGUCUCUCCAGUAAUGCAGCUAACGCAUUAAGCAUCCCGCCUGGGGAGUACGGUCGCAAGAUUAAAACUCAAAGGAAUAGACGGGGACCCGCACAAGCGGUGGAGCAUGUGGUUUAAUUCGAGGCUACACGAAGAACCUUACCUAGGCUUGACAUUGAGAGAAUCCGCUAGAAAUAGUGGAGUGUCUGGCUUGCCAGACCUUGAAAACAGGUGCUGCACGGCUGUCGUCAGCUCGUGUCGUGAGAUGUUGGGUUAAGUCCCGCAACGAGCGCAACCCCCUUUCUUAGUUGCUAACAGGUUAUGCUGAGAACUCUAAGGAUACUGCCUCCGUAAGGAGGAGGAAGGUGGGGACGACGUCAAGUCAUCAUGGCCCUUACGCCUAGGGCUACACACGUGCUACAAUGGGGUGCACAAAGAGAAGCAAUACUGCGAAGUGGAGCCAAUCUUCAAAACACCUCUCAGUUCGGAUUGUAGGCUGCAACUCGCCUGCAUGAAGCUGGAAUCGCUAGUAAUCGCAAAUCAGCCAUGUUGCGGUGAAUACGUUCCCGGGUCUUGUACUCACCGCCCGUCACACCAUGGGAGUUGUGUUUGCCUUAAGUCAGGAUGCUAA
This 1385-nucleotide ribosomal RNA is filed under the name Helicobacter pylori. Its description in RNAcentral is "bacterial SSU rRNA". It matches the Rfam family "Bacterial small subunit ribosomal RNA". The record is from RNAcentral. Lineage: Bacteria; Pseudomonadati; Campylobacterota; Epsilonproteobacteria; Campylobacterales; Helicobacteraceae.